UGCUUUGUUUUUCUCCAUAUUUUUACUCUCCAGUAUACAUUGCCUGUGUCUGCACUAGAACGUCAGCUUCACAAGGGCAGGAAUUUUUAUUUGUUUUGUCCUCUGCUGUAUCUUUCGUGCCCAGAAAAGUAUUUGGCACAUAGUAGGUAGUCAAUGAGUAUUGGACAAAUGAAUGAAUGAAUGAAUUCAGUCCCUGCAGGCUCAGAAUGGAGGAUCUUCAUCUCAGGAUGGAGAUGGCUGUUUUGAAGAGUCCAUACACCCACCUGGAGUUUGCAAGACAAACAGAAGGCAGGCAGGGCCUGUGAGACUGUGAAGCUCGGAGAGGCAGACGACUUGACUACGGUCAGACAGCCAGAGUAUGGCACAGUUAGGAUUGGAACUCAGGUCCUUCUGAUUCCGAAGUUGAGAACUCUCCCCUAGAUCUUGACCUGGCACGCACAGACUGCCCCGGCCCAUCCCAGAUCCCUGGGGGCUGGCUGUAAAAGACAGACGGACAGUCAGACAGACAGCUGGGCUGACCUGGAUAUUUGUCAACAGCCCAACGGAAAUCUCCUCUUUAUGCUUAAAAUAAAACCUACAUCAAACCUGUCACCAAGGCCUCCAUUAGAGCUUCCUGUUUCUGAGAGCUACAGCGAGGCAGCCCGCGGGAGAGGAAGCGCCACCCAGAACUCCCCAUUCCUGCCCCUGGAGAGGGGGCAGAGAGGUCACCCUGGCUCUCACCUUCUGUGUGCCCAGCCCUAGCCCUGGCCUAGGGCCCUGGCCGCUCCUAGGCAAGGGUAACUAAUCUGAAGGGAGGCUGGAAGGGGCUGAGCCCUCACAGCCCGGUGCCGGCCCUGUCCCACCCCCUCUCCCCCGGCACUGGACAUAACACGAAGGGCCCAAAAUGCAGGUGACUAACUCAAGGAGGACUGUGCCACUUGUCUCCCACAAAGGCCCAGGAAGGAACCUGCCUUGCCCAGGGCCACCCAGGAGGCAAGGCCAGUCUGCUCCAAGUCCCUCUUCCUCAAAGAACUACUUCCCACCCCCACACUGUGGCCUGUGUGGCCUCAAGUUCAGAGUCUGCCCUCUCUGAGUUUCCUGUCCCCUUGAAAACUGGGAAAGGGUGGGGGAGUGUGGAACCUCCAUGACUGGGGAGGGUCUUUGCAUCCCUGUCCAACCUUCCCCUGUAGGUCCCCUUCCUGGUGCAGGAGGAAGACCCCAGGCCUAGUACCAGCCCUUUGCCAACUCACUCUGUGACCAGACCUCAGCUUCCUCCUUUUUGUAAAUAAAAGAAUUUAUUUAAUUUUAUGUGUUCAUUCAUUUAUUUUUAAUUUGACCAGAGAGAGGCACACAGAGAGAGAGGGAAAGUGAGAAAGUAAGCCACCAGGUCUGGGUCUCAAACCAUGGCUGGCCAUGUGGGGGUACCCAGCACCUUAACCACUAUACCAUCUACUGGUCCCUCAGCUUCCUCCUUUAUGAAGAAUGCCAGCAGGCCUCCCAGAGCAGUUAUGAGGACACUCUGUGGGGCAAGACUCAGGCCCCACCAGAUCGUGGGGUGAACAAUUAUUAAGUUGUUCAUUUAUACCCCAAGACUUCUCCCACCCCGACCCCUUGUGAGCACAUAAACAUCUAAAGGCCCAGCCCUUGAGAAACAAGCAUCUGUAUUUAUUAACAAGGGGAGGGAACCAGUGCAGUACAGAUUCCUGCCCAGUCCCUCCUGUAGACUACCUACCUAGGCCAGCCUCCAAGGGCUGGGAAGACAGGAGACAGGCUCACUCUGCCCUGCCCCCUCCCCAGGGUGAGGUCCAGGGAGCCAGGGCCCACUGGGUAAAGAAGAGGAAGUCAACAAAGGCCAGGGACCAAGGAAGGAGGAAGCAGAGCCAGUGGGCAGACAAACUCGGCAAGAUCCCUCCUCCCCUCACUCUGAGGAAGGCUAAGCACCCCAAAUCCAGCCCAGGAGAGGAACCACACAGAAGUAUAGUCAUGUCCAAAAACCUUGUAUGUGGGGUGGGGGUGGGGAAUCCAGGUCAAGAGCAUUUCUCUCCAGGGUCAGUCCUUCUGAGAGGAUGCUGGGCCAGCCUCUAAGCCUCCAUACUAAGUUCACAUACGGGCACAAACUGAUUUGCCCCGAGCCAGGGAAUGGAUGCAAGAGAAGUCAGGGGACCAACUGGCUCCCUCAUAUCUGUCCUAUGGCGAACGCUGAGUCCACUGGCGGCCUAGCCCUCAGCGGCUGGGGC
Tupaia belangeri chinensis (Chinese tree shrew) is the source of this 2216-nucleotide long non-coding RNA. RefSeq lists it as uncharacterized. NCBI's taxonomy places the organism in Eukaryota, Metazoa, Chordata, Mammalia, Scandentia, Tupaiidae. The transcript has 3 exons. The record is from RefSeq and is a predicted model, not a curated record.